Molecule: long non-coding RNA, 126 nt
Organism: Sander lucioperca (pikeperch)
Lineage: Eukaryota; Metazoa; Chordata; Actinopteri; Perciformes; Percidae
Exons: 3
Source: RefSeq, a predicted model, not a curated record
UAAUGCAAAAUGACGACGUGCAAGCCGCCGGCCUCAGUGUCAGGAAGAAUCGCGUGAUAUCAGGUCUCGCGAUGUAACGAAUUGCUUCACGGCACUGCACACAUACGCCCAUUCAGGAACCGGCUA